This 835-nucleotide ribosomal RNA is filed under the name Rhinella sp. 13 MP-2021. RNAcentral describes it as "partial 16S ribosomal RNA". It matches the Rfam family "Bacterial large subunit ribosomal RNA", at positions 1419 to 2569 of the family's 2925-position model. Lineage: Eukaryota; Metazoa; Chordata; Amphibia; Anura; Bufonidae. The record is from RNAcentral.
UGUUUUAUUGCUUAAUUUCACAAACAUUAUUUUAAUCCUCCAUCCCUAUUGAGUAAUUCUAUAACAUUAUAGAAAAUUUCAUGUUAAAACUAGUAACAAGAAGAAGACCUUCUCUUAAAUGUAAGUGUUGAUCAGAAAGGACAAACCACUGAUAUUUAUCAUCAUUGAACCAAGAAUAGUAACUCAUCAAGAAAACACUAUUUUUAUUUAUGUUAACCUAACACAAGAACAUUGUAAGAAAGAUUAAAAGAAAAAGAAGGAACUCGGCAAAUAUUAACCUCGCCUGUUUACCAAAAACAUCGCCUCUUGAGCUUUAUAAGAGGUCCAGCCUGCCCAGUGACUCUGUUCAACGGCCGCGGUAUCCUAACCGUGCGAAGGUAGCGUAAUCACUUGUUCUUUAAAUGUGGACUAGUAUGAAUGGCACUACGAGGGUUACACUGUCUCCUUUCUCUAAUCAGUGAAACUAAUUUUCCCGUGAAGAAGCGGGAAUACGCCUAUAAGACGAGAAGACCCUAUGGAGCUUUAAACAAUCAGCAAUUACUUUUAAAAUCAAAAAUUUCAGAAUAUUCAUUUUUUAAGUAACAUGACUGCAAGUUUUCGGUUGGGGUGACCAUGGAGAAUAACACAACCUCCACAUUGAACGAAUUUCAUUCUAAGCUAAAAAUGACCUAUUAAAGCAUCAACACACUGACAUCUAUUGACCCGAUAUAUUUGAUCAACGAACCAAGUUACCCUAGGGAUAACAGCGCAAUCCACUUCAAGAGCCCCUAUCGACAAGUGGGUUUACGACCUCGAUGUUGGAUCAGGGUAUCCCAGUGGCGCAGCCGUUACUAAA